RNAcentral lists this long non-coding RNA (259 nucleotides) under Struthio camelus australis. RNAcentral's name for it is "lncRNA (ENSSCUG00000014013.1)". The record is from RNAcentral. Lineage: Eukaryota; Metazoa; Chordata; Aves; Struthioniformes; Struthionidae.
UUCCCGCUUCAGGCCUCUUCCCAGCCCGCUGUGGGAACCAGGAGGAGGAGGAGGCUUUUACUUGUCUUUUCCUGAGGACUGCCAACAUUGCUAUGGAAACCCCCCAAAAAUAAAGACUUUCCCAGCCUUGUGAGAGCACACCUGCAAGAACAAGAAUUGCAGUUAGCCUUUUGCCUGUCAAAAACUACUCUCCUUCAAUAUCAGUGUCGCUUAAGGACAUCUUUUAUGUUUGGUAUGAUUUGUUAUCUUAAAAUUUGUA